AGCAGCCGCGGUAAUUCCAGCUCCAAUAGCGUAUAUUAAAGUUGUUGCAGUUAAAAAGCUCGUAGUUGAAUUUCGGGAUUGACACAUCGGUCGUGCCUUAAGGGGUAUGAACUGGUGUAGUCAAUUUCUCACCUUCUGGAGAACCGCGAUGCCCUUAAUUGGGUGUCGCGGGGAACCAGGACCUUUACUUUGAAAAAAUUAGAGUGUUUAAAGCAGGCAUUUUGCUUGAAUACAUUAGCAUGGAAUAAUAAAAUAGGACGGCAUGAUUCUAUUUUGUUGGUUUCUAGGAUCACCGUAAUGAUUAAUAGGGAUAGUUGGGGGCAUUAGUAUUCAAUUGUCAGAGGUGAAAUUCUUGGAUUUAUUGAAGACUAACUACUGCGAAAGCAUUUGCCAAGGAUGUUUUCAUUAAUCAAGAACGAAAGUUAGGGGAUCGAAGGCGAUCAGAUACCG
Molecule: ribosomal RNA, 450 nt
Filed under: uncultured Glomeromycotina
Lineage: Eukaryota; Fungi; Glomeromycota
Description: SSU rRNA
Rfam family: Eukaryotic small subunit ribosomal RNA
Source: RNAcentral